Molecule: ribosomal RNA, 444 nt
Filed under: uncultured bacterium
Lineage: Bacteria
Description: partial 16S ribosomal RNA
Rfam family: Bacterial small subunit ribosomal RNA
Source: RNAcentral
CUACGGGCGGCAGCAGUGGGGAAUAUUGCACAAUGGGCGCAAGCCUGAUGCAGCAACGCCGCGUGAGGGAUGAAGGCCUUCGGGUCGUAAACCUCUUUUAGCAGGGAAGAAGCGAAAGUGACGGUACCUGCAGAAAAAGCACCGGCUAACUACGUGCCAGCAGCCGCGGUAAUACGUAGGGUGCAAGCGUUGUCCGGAAUUAUUGGGCGUAAAGAGCUCGUAGGCGGUUUGUCACGUCUGCUGUGAAAAUCCAAGGCUCAACCUUGGACUUGCAGUGGGUACGGGCAGGCUAGAGUGCGGUAGGGGGGAUGGGAAUUCCUGGUGUAGCGGUGGAAUGCGCAGAUAUCAGGAGGAACACCAAUGGCGAAGGCACAUCUCUGGGCCGUAACUGACGCUGAGGAGCGAAAGCGUGGGGAGCGAACAGGAUUAGAUACCCCUGUAGUC